Molecule: long non-coding RNA, 349 nt
Filed under: Fukomys damarensis (Damara mole-rat)
Lineage: Eukaryota; Metazoa; Chordata; Mammalia; Rodentia; Bathyergidae
Description: lncRNA (ENSFDAG00000029964.1)
Source: RNAcentral
CAGGAAGAGCGAGCUUGGCUCACAGGCGUCUCAGGCUUUCAAGGUGAACUGUACUCCUGGAGAUGUGCUCCUCGGCAAAGACUGGGAGAGACGGAGGGGAGGGGGCCAGAUCAAAGCUGCCUUUGAACUUCCUGAACCUCCCUCGCUGCUUGGCUGGUCCUCUGUUACCUGGGAAUGCCUUCUCCUCUCCCCGCUUUUGCCCAAGGUAUUAAAAUGGCUGGCACAAAGAUCGAAGAGGAACAGAACAUGUGUAAUGGGAAUAUCACCUCCGCUGUUCACUUGUUCUUGAGAGAAGGAAAAUUACCUUGGUAAUUAUUUUUUAAUUGAAAAUUAAUAUAAGAGGUGGGGG